RNAcentral lists this ribosomal RNA (206 nucleotides) under uncultured bacterium. Its description in RNAcentral is "partial 16S ribosomal RNA". It matches the Rfam family "Bacterial small subunit ribosomal RNA", at positions 1288 to 1500 of the family's 1533-position model. The record is from RNAcentral.
UCAGUUCGGAUCGGAGUCUGCAACCCGACUCCGUGAAGCUGGAUUCGCUAGUAAUCGCGCAUCAGCCAUGGCGCGGUGAAUACGUUCCCGGGCCUUGUACACACCGCCCGUCCAAGCCAUGGGAGCCGGGGGUACCUGAAGUGCGUAACCGCGAGGAUCGCCCUAGGGUAAAACUGGUGACUGGGGCUAAGUCGUAACAAGGUACC